GCUAAACGCGAAGAACCUUACCAGGGCUUGACAUCCCUUUGACCGGAUUAGAGAUAGUCCUUUCCCUUCGGGGCAGAGGAGACAGGUGGUGCAUGGUUGUCGUCAGCUCGUGUCGUGAGAUGUUGGGUUAAGUCCCGCAACGAGCGCAACCCUUGAACUUAGUUGCCAGCACUUUGGGUGGGCACUCUAGGUUGACUGCCGGUGACAAACCGGAGGAAGGCGGGGAUGACGUCAAAUCAUCAUGCCCCUUAUGGCCUGGGCUACACACGUACUACAAUGGCCGGUACAACGGGUCGCGAAGCCGCGAGGCGGAGCCAAUCCCAGCAAAGCCGGUCUCAGUUCGGAUUGCAGGCUGCAACUCGCCUGCAUGAAGUCGGAAUUGCUAGUAAUCGCAGAUCAGCAUUGCUGCGGUGAAUACGUUCCGGGUCUUGUACACACCG
Molecule: ribosomal RNA, 440 nt
Filed under: uncultured bacterium
Lineage: Bacteria
Description: bacterial SSU rRNA
Rfam family: Bacterial small subunit ribosomal RNA
Source: RNAcentral